AGUCACUGACAUUAGAUACCCCUGUAGUCCAGGGUGUAAACGCUGCAGACUUGGUGUUGGAGGCCCUUUGGGGGCAUUCAGUGCCGGAGAGAAGUUGUUAAGUCUGCUACUUGGGAGUACGUCCGCAAGGAUGAAACUUAAAGGAAUUGGCGGGGGAGCACCGCAACGGGAGGAGCGUGCGGUUUAAUUGGAUUCAACACCGUAAAACUCACCAGGGAAGACUGUUACAUGAAGGCCGAGAUGAAGACUCUGCUAGAUUUCAG
This 263-nucleotide ribosomal RNA is filed under the name uncultured archaeon. RNAcentral's name for it is "partial 16S ribosomal RNA". It matches the Rfam family "Archaeal small subunit ribosomal RNA", at positions 718 to 982 of the family's 1478-position model. The record is from RNAcentral.